GGGUACUAUUAAAUAGGGCAUGAAGAGGAGUUUGGGGGGUGUCCAAGAGUUGGAUGCCCCAUCUAAAAUUUAGGCAUGUAGGAAGAAAAGUAGAGUGCAGCUUCUUUUAAUUAUUUUUAUCAUGUAAGAAAGAUGGAUGUCCCCUUUUAUUUUAGCAUGAAAGAGUUCACGCAAAGAAGGGAUAGCGUGGAGUUUGGGGUGGCCUCGAACAAGGAUGUGGCAUGG
This 225-nucleotide long non-coding RNA is filed under the name Elaeis guineensis (African oil palm). Its description in RNAcentral is "long non-coding RNA (EGUI_LNC025677)". The record is from RNAcentral. Lineage: Eukaryota; Viridiplantae; Streptophyta; Magnoliopsida; Arecales; Arecaceae.